RNAcentral lists this ribosomal RNA (509 nucleotides) under Dictya floridensis. Its description in RNAcentral is "partial 16S ribosomal RNA". It matches the Rfam family "Bacterial large subunit ribosomal RNA", at positions 1819 to 2597 of the family's 2925-position model. Lineage: Eukaryota; Metazoa; Arthropoda; Insecta; Diptera; Sciomyzidae. The record is from RNAcentral.
GUCUUUUUGAAUUAAAUUUAAAGUCUGACCUGCCCACUGAUUUUUAAAUGGCCGCAGUACUCUAACUGUGCAAAGGUAGCAUAAUAAUUAGUCUUUUAAUUGAAGGCUGGAAUGAAUGGUUGGACGAAAUAUUAACUGUUUCAUUAAAAAUUUUUUUAGAACUUUAUUUUUUAGUCAAAAAGCUAAAAUAUUAUUAAAAGACGAGAAGACCCUAUAAAUCUUUAUAAUUUUAAAAAAAUAAUAAAAUAAGAUUUUUUUAUAGUAUUUUUGAAGAAUUAUUUUAUUGGGGUGAUAUUAAAAUUUAUAAAACUUUUAAUUUUUAUAAACAUUAAUUUAUGAAAAAUUGAUCCACUUUUUGUGAUUAUAAAUUCAAGUUACUUUAGGGAUAACAGCGUAAUUUUUUUGGAGAGUUCAUAUCGAUAAAAAAGAUUGCGACCUCGAUGUUGGACUAAGGAAUAAGUUUAGGCGCAGCCGUUUAAAUGAUAAGUCUGUUCGACUUUUAAACCCUU